Molecule: ribosomal RNA, 789 nt
Filed under: Methanoculleus sp. enrichment culture clone L55A_15
Lineage: Archaea; Methanobacteriati; Methanobacteriota; Methanomicrobia; Methanomicrobiales; Methanomicrobiaceae
Description: bacterial SSU rRNA
Rfam family: Archaeal small subunit ribosomal RNA
Source: RNAcentral
ACUGCUCAGUAACACGUGGAUAACCUGCCCUAAGGAAGGGGAUAACCUCGGGAAACUGAGGAUAAUACCCUAUAGGUUACAGACGCUGGAAUGCCCUGUAACCGAAAGUUCCGGCGCCUUAGGAUGGAUCUGCGGCCGAUUAGGUUGUUGUUGGGGUAACGGCCCAACAAGCCGAUAAUCGGUACGGGUUGUGGGAGCAAGAGCCCGGAGUUGGAUUCUGAGACAUGAAUCCAGGCCCUACGGGGCGCAGCAGGCGCGAAAACUUUACAAUGCGGGAAACCGUGAUAAGGGAACCCCGAGUGCCUGUAUAUGCAGGCUGUCCAGGUGUCUAAAAAACACCUGAAGAAAGGGCCGGGCAUGACCGGUGCCAGCCGCCGCGGUAAUACCGGCGGCUCGAGUGGUGGCCACUUUUAUUGGGCUUAAAGCGUUCGUAGCUGGGUUGUUAAGUCUCUUGGGAAAUCUGACGGCUCAACCGUCAGGCGUCCAAGGGAUACUGGCAAUCUUGGAACCGGGAGAGGUGAGGGGUACUUCGGGGGUAGGAGUGAAAUCCUAUAAUCCUCGAGGGACCACCUGUGGCGAAGGCGCCUCACCAGAACGGCUUCGACAGUGAGGGACGAAAGCUGGGGGAGCAAACCGGAUUAGAUACCCGGGUAGUCCCAGCCGUAAACGAUGCGCGUUAGGUGUAUCGGUGACCACGAGUCACCGAGGUGCCGAAGGGAAACCGUGAAACGUGCCGCCUGGGAAGUACGGUCGCAAGGCUGAAACUUAAAGGAAUUGGCGGGGGAGCAC